RNAcentral lists this non-coding RNA (70 nucleotides) under uncultured Robinsoniella sp. RNAcentral's name for it is "Glycine riboswitch". It matches the Rfam family "Glycine riboswitch aptamer", at positions 9 to 86 of the family's 94-position model. Rfam says of the family: This family represents the bacterial glycine riboswitch. Glycine riboswitches usually consist of two metabolite-binding aptamers domains with similar structures in tandem. The record is from RNAcentral. Lineage: Bacteria; Bacillati; Bacillota; Clostridia; Lachnospirales; Lachnospiraceae.
AUUUGGGAGAGACUAUGUAUCUAUGGCGCCGAAGGGGAAAAUCAGGAAACUCUCAGGCAAAAGAACCAAA